UAACACAUGCAAGUCGCACGAGGACGCCCGGGCCUAGCCUGGGCAAGUACAGUGGCGGACGGGUGCGUAACGCGUAGAUAACCUGCCCUCAGGCGCGGGACAAUCGCGGGAAACCGCGGCUAAUACCGCACGACGUCCGGAUCCCGCAUGGGAGCCGGAUGAAACCUUGGGUUCGCCCAGGGGCCUUUGGAUGGGUCUGCGUCGGAUUAGCUUGUUGGUGAGGUAACGGCUCACCAAGGUAGCGAUCCGUAGCUGGUCUGAGAGGACGAUCAGUCACACUGGGACUGAGACACGGCCCAGACUCCUACGGGAGGCAGCAGUGGGGAAUCUUGCACAAUGGGGUCACCCCUGAUGCAGCCAUGCCGCGUGGAGGAAGACACCCCUAUGGGGCGUAAACUCCUUUUCUGAGAGAAGAAGCCCCUGUAGGUUCAGGGCGUGACGGUAUCUCAGGAAUAAGCACCGGCUAACUCCGUGCCAGCAGCCGCGGUAAUACGGAGGGUGCAAGCGUUGUCCGGAAUCACUGGGCGUAAAGGGUGCGCAGGCGGGGCAGCAAGUCGGAGGUGAAAGCCCGUGGCUCAACCACGGAAGUGCCUUCGAAACUGUUGCUCUUGAGUCCCGGAGAGGUUGCCGGAAUUCGUGGUGUAGCGGUGAAAUGCGUAGAUAUCACGAGGAACACCAGAGGCGAAAGCGGGCAACUGGACGGGUACUGACGCUCAGGCACGAAAGCGCGGGGAGCAAACAGGAUUAGAUACCCUGGUAGUCCGCGCCGUAAACGAUGAAUGCUCGCCGUUAUCCCGCUUAAGGGAUAGUGGCUAAGCUAACGCGUUAAGCAUUCCGCCUGGGGAGUAUGGUCGCAAGGC
Molecule: ribosomal RNA, 860 nt
Filed under: uncultured Bacteroidota bacterium
Lineage: Bacteria; Pseudomonadati; Bacteroidota
Description: bacterial SSU rRNA
Rfam family: Bacterial small subunit ribosomal RNA
Source: RNAcentral